ACGAAGGCUUCGGCCUUAGNGGCGCACGGGUGCGUAACGCGUGGGAAUCUGCCCUCAGGUUCGGAAUAACAGCGAGAAAUUGCUGCUAAUACCGGAUGAUAUCGCGAGAUCAAAGAUUUAUCGCCUGAGGAUGAGCCCGCGUAGGAUUAGCUAGUUGGUGUGGUAAAGGCGCACCAAGGCGACGAUCCUUAGCUGGUCUGAGAGGAUGAUCAGCCACACUGGGACUGAGACACGGCCCAGACUCCUACGGGAGGCAGCAGUGGGGAAUAUUGGACAAUGGGCGAAAGCCUGAUCCAGCAAUGCCGCGUGAGUGAUGAAGGCCUUAGGGUUGUAAAGCUCUUUUACCCGGGAUGAUAAUGACAGUACCGGGAGAAUAAGCUCCGGCUAACUCCGUGCCAGCAGCCGCGGUAAUACGGAGGGAGCUAGCGUUAUUCGGAAUUACUG
RNAcentral lists this ribosomal RNA (444 nucleotides) under uncultured Sphingomonas sp. RNAcentral describes it as "bacterial SSU rRNA". It matches the Rfam family "Bacterial small subunit ribosomal RNA", at positions 66 to 556 of the family's 1533-position model. Lineage: Bacteria; Pseudomonadati; Pseudomonadota; Alphaproteobacteria; Sphingomonadales; Sphingomonadaceae. The record is from RNAcentral.